RNAcentral lists this transfer RNA (74 nucleotides) under Bacillus subtilis BEST7003. RNAcentral describes it as "tRNA-Val". It matches the Rfam family "tRNA". Rfam says of the family: Transfer RNA (tRNA) molecules are approximately 80 nucleotides in length. Their secondary structure includes four short double-helical elements and three loops (D, anti-codon, and T loops). Lineage: Bacteria; Bacillati; Bacillota; Bacilli; Caryophanales; Bacillaceae. RNAcentral also lists the same sequence under 1 other name. The record is from RNAcentral.
CGGGAAGUAGCUCAGCUUGGUAGAGCAUCUGCCUUACAAGCAGAGGGUCGGCGGUUCGAGCCCGUCAUCCUCCA